GCAAACAGGAUUAGAUACCCUGGUAGUCCACGCUGUAAACGAUGAAUACUAGGUGUCGGGUGGCAAAGCCAUUCGGUGCCGCAGCUAACGCAAUAAGUAUUCCACCUGGGGAGUACGUUCGCAAGAAUGAAACUCAAAGGAAUUGACGGGGACCCGCACAAGCGGUGGAGCAUGUGGUUUAAUUCGACGCAACGCGAAGAACCUUACCAAGUCUUGACAUCCUUUUGACCGGUCGGUAAUGCGACCUUCUCUUCGGAGCAAAAGUGACAGGUGGUGCAUGGUUGUCGUCAGCUCGUGUCGUGAGAUGUUGGGUUAAGUCCCGCAACGAGCGCAACCCUUAUCUUUAGUAGCCAGCAUUUUAAGAUGGGCACUCUAGAGAGACUGCCAGGGAUAACCUGGAGGAAGGUGGGGAUGACGUCAAAUCAUCAUGCCCCUUAUGACUUGGGCUACACACGUGCUACAAUGGCGUAAACAAAGAGAAGCAAGACUGUGAAGUGGAGCAAAUCUCAAAAAUAACGUCUCAGUUCGGACUGUAGUCUGCAACUCGACUACAUGAAGCUGGAAUCGCUAGUAAUCGCGAAUCAGAAUGUCGCGGUGAAUACGUUCCCGGGUCUUGUACACACCGCCCGUCACACCAUGGGAGUUGGGAAUGCCCGAAGCCCAGUGACCUAACCGUAAGGGAGG
This 684-nucleotide ribosomal RNA is filed under the name uncultured Lachnospiraceae bacterium. Its description in RNAcentral is "bacterial SSU rRNA". It matches the Rfam family "Bacterial small subunit ribosomal RNA", at positions 768 to 1450 of the family's 1533-position model. Lineage: Bacteria; Bacillati; Bacillota; Clostridia; Lachnospirales; Lachnospiraceae. The record is from RNAcentral.